CCUACGGGGUGCAGCAGUGGGGAAUAUUGGACAAUGGGCGAAAGCCUGAUCCAGCCAUGCCGCGUGUGUGAAGAAGGCCUUCGGGUUGUAAAGCACUUUCAGUGGGGAAGAAAGCCUUGGGGCUAAUACCCUCGAGGAAGGACAUCACCCACAGAAGAAGCACCGGCUAACUCCGUGCCAGCAGCCGCGGUAAUACGGAGGGUGCGAGCGUUAAUCGGAAUUACUGGGCGUAAAGCGCGCGUAGGCGGUCUGAUAAGCCGGUUGUGAAAGCCCCGGGCUCAACCUGGGAACGGCAUCCGGAACUGUCAGGCUAGAGUGCAGGAGAGGAAGGUAGAAUUCCCGGUGUAGCGGUGAAAUGCGUAGAGAUCGGGAAGAAUACCAGUGGCGAAGGCGGCCUUCUGGACUGACACUGACGCUGAGGUGCGAAAGCGUGGGUAGCAAACAGGAUUAGAUACCCUAGUAGUC
Molecule: ribosomal RNA, 465 nt
Filed under: Vreelandella stevensii
Lineage: Bacteria; Pseudomonadati; Pseudomonadota; Gammaproteobacteria; Oceanospirillales; Halomonadaceae
Description: partial 16S ribosomal RNA
Rfam family: Bacterial small subunit ribosomal RNA
Source: RNAcentral